Molecule: transfer RNA, 73 nt
Filed under: Candidatus Saccharimonadota bacterium
Lineage: Bacteria; Candidatus Saccharimonadota
Description: tRNA-Ala
Rfam family: tRNA
About the family: Transfer RNA (tRNA) molecules are approximately 80 nucleotides in length. Their secondary structure includes four short double-helical elements and three loops (D, anti-codon, and T loops). Further hydrogen bonds mediate the characteristic L-shaped molecular structure. tRNAs have two regions of fundamental functional importance: the anti-codon, which is responsible for specific mRNA codon recognition, and the 3' end, to which the tRNAs corresponding amino acid is attached (by aminoacyl-tRNA synthetases). tRNAs cope with the degeneracy of the genetic code in two manners: having more than one tRNA (with a specific anti-codon) for a particular amino acid; and 'wobble' base-pairing, i.e. permitting non-standard base-pairing at the 3rd anti-codon position.
Source: RNAcentral
GGGCCGUUAGCUCAGUUGGUAGAGCGUCUGCGUGGCACGCAGGAGGUCGCGGGUUCGACCCCCGCACGGUCCA